Molecule: ribosomal RNA, 451 nt
Filed under: uncultured bacterium
Lineage: Bacteria
Description: partial 16S ribosomal RNA
Rfam family: Bacterial small subunit ribosomal RNA
Source: RNAcentral
GAUGAACGCUGGCGGCGUGCCUAACACAUGCAAGUUGAGCGGCAGCGAGGGGUGCUUGCACCCUGUCGGCGAGCGGCGGACGGCUGAGUAACGCGUGGGAACGUGCCCCAAAGUGAGGAAUAACUGCCCGAAAGGGUAGCUAAUACCGCAUAUUAUCUUCGGAUCAAAGGAUUUAUCCGCUUUGGGAGCGGCUCGCGUCGGAUUAGGUAGUUGGUGAGGUAAUGGCUCACCAAGCCGACGAUCCGUAGCUGGUCUGAGAGGAUGACCAGCCAGACUGGAACUGAGACACGGUCCAGACUCCUACGGGAGGCAGCAGUGAGGAAUCUUCCACAAUGGGCGAAAGCCUGAUGGAGCAACGCCGCGUGCAGGACGAAGGCCUUCGGGUUGUAAACUGCUUUUAUAAGUGAGGAAUAUGACGGUAACUUAUGAAUAAGGAUCGGCUAACUACGUG